AGAAAUACACAGAGAGCAGGACUUGGUAACAGACUUUCCUCUCUGAAGACAAGUAAACUGCAUAUUAAAGCGGACUGUGACCUCAUAGACUGAUGAAAUUUGAAACACUUAAGCUACAUAUGCUGCUUCUGGGUUAUGUGUUCUGUGUCAUAUCUUAGAAGAUCCUCCCAGGAAGAAUGGUGACAACUGUAUUUACUGUGUGAUCGUCUGGGCCUGGCACCUUUCUAAGCCAUUUCAUGUACUAACUCAUGAACAACAAUCCCACAAGGUUGGUACUAUUAUUGUCCUCAUAUUGUACAGGAGACAAUGAAGGCAUAAGGGAUUAAGAAAUUUGCCCUCUGUCACGGCUGAGAAUGAGCAGAUCCAGGAUUGACUGUGGAGGCAUUGGACUUCACCACUAUACUAUUCUGUCUGUGAUUAAAAAGAAUGGUCUAUUAAUUUGAUCCUGCAUGUUCAUACUGGAGGAACUAAAGUGAAAACUGUUUAGACCUACAUCAGUACCAGUGACGUGUGCCUCACCAACUGAGACCUCCUUUACAGUUAAUCUUUGGGUACUUUAAGAGUUUCUCCUAGUAAGGUUUCCAUGGUGCACCCUCAGGAGAAUUUCAGGGAGCCUUAGAAAACACUAGUUUGUAAGUCAAGGCCCUGGAUCACUUGCCUCCUGGUGACAGAAUUCCCUUCUUAACAAUCUAGACUGUGUGUCAGCCAAAAAUAUGCUUAGGCCUGGGAGGUAGGGAAAGUCACAGAGACCAGGAGACACUAGACAAGAAGAAAUGGGACUGUGGUCCAGGUGGGUCCUUAGGAAGAAUCGAGAGUAGGUUUACAUUGGGUAGAAAUGUUAUUAAAUAGGGAAAGAAACAGUAUUGUACAUAUCCUAUUCUUAAGGAGCUCUAGAAUUCUACACUGAGCUGCCAGAUGAUGAUUGUGAGUUUGUUUUUGUUGUAUUUAUUUGUUUUUGUUCAUGAGUAAUCCAUAACAUUGCCUUCAUGUAUUCUGAAAAUGAUUGGGAACUGAGUCCUAGUCGUUUUCUCUUUACCUGUCAUGAGUGGGGAGAGUUGGGGAAGCCUGACUCAUAAGAAGACUUGCCAAGAAGAAAGUCGAGUUAAUGUGUAAUAAUUUUGCUACGGGCAGAUUGAUAAAACAACAACAACAACAAUAAGAUCUCAAUAUCCUAACUGUAGACAUUCUAGGUGACCUUCAAAGGAGUCUAGUGGGCGAUUUAAGACUAGUUGCUUAUUUGCUAACAUAUGUCUAAGGAAUAUGUUCUAUGGUGGUUUCUUCUUGGCAGGAACUCCAAUCUCCUUCCUUCUCUUGAACACUGGGAUGUGUUUGCAUUGCUUGUCUUGUGAUGGUGACCAUAUAAAGCAGAGGCCAGUGCUUUAGCCUCUGUGUUGCAGCCGCUUAUCCCUCCUAAAAAGCUGGGAGGUUUUGUGAUGUGAGAAGAUGAUCCUGGCUCAUCGGUUGGAGCCAGACAUGUUAGACUAGAAUGGAGACAAAAGGAACAUCUAGAGUCUAUUCCAUGUGAAUGUUUGAGGGUUGAGGGUCUGGGGCUAACUAGAGAAAGAAACGUGCCUAAUAUCCCUGGCUUAGAAUCUGGACUGCCUUCAUGGUUAGCCCCUUUGGACCAAGCUUUUAGUUGGCCUGGACUCCAGAGGCUGCCAAGCCCAAAAGCCUGGGGCUGCCUCUUCUGGAGAGAGAGCAGAAGAUAGAAAUAGUGGGAGGGGGAAAAGGUACCUUUUUUUAAUAUACCAGAGCACUCUGUUCUUCUUAAUAAAGUCUGUCCUCCGGAGAAACUAGUUAACCAGAGCCUAAUCUACUGAGGUUUUAUCAGAGCCUAAUUGACCUUAGGGAAGAAAAGUGUUCAACUCCAUCUAGCUCUAGCUUUCCACAUGGGAGCAGAACAAUACCCAACUCCAGCCCACUCUAGCUAUCCUGUCCCACCUAAGAAGGGGAAAAAACAUCCUGAGAAUCACUUGGAAUAUUCACAUUCCAGAGGCAUAGGUUCACUAAAAGACAGGGACCAAAUCAUAGGACGAUAUAGUACAUUUCUCUUCCCCCCAUACUUCACCAUUACAUUACUAAAGCGCUAUUUACAGGAGUUCCUCUUACCCACUACAUCAUGUCUGGCUAUCGAGAAAAAAUUAUAAAGCAUGCCAAAAGGUGAAUAACACAAUAUCUACAGAGCAAGCAUCAGUUCCAGACAUGGCAGGGAUAUGGGAAUUAUCAGAUAAAUAAUUUAAAGCAACUAUGAUUAAUGUGCUAAGGGCUGUAAAUGGAUAAAGUGGACAACAUGUCAGAACAGAUGGGCGAUGUAAGCAGGAAGAUGGAGAUCCUAAGAGAGAACAAAUAAUAAAUGCUGGAGAUAAAAAACACUGUAAUGGAAAUGAAGAAUGCCUUUGAUGAGCUUAUCAGUAGAUUGGACACAGCUGAGGGAAGAGUCUCUGCGCUUGAGAAGAUCUCAAUGUAAACCUCCAAAACUGGAAAACAAAAAGAACAAAGACUGAAAAAAACAGAACAGAAUAUUCACAGACUGUGAGAGAACUACAAAAGGUGUAACAUACAGGCAAUAGGAAUACCAGAAGGAGAAGAGAAAAAGGAACAGGAUAAAUAUUUGAAACAAUAAUAACAACUGAGAAUUUUACCAAAAAAAUUGUUAGACACAAAAGCUCAGAGAACACCAAGCACGAUAAAUGCCAAAAACAACAAAAAAAAACAACAAAACAAACAAAAAACCCUAUGCCUAGGCAUAUUAUUUUCCAAUUACAGAAAACCAAAGAUAAAGAAAAAGUCCAGAAGGAAGCCAGAGGAAAAGAACACCUUACCUAUAGAGGAGCAAAGAGAAGGAUUACCUCUGAUUUCUCAGAAACCAUACAAGCAAGAAGAGACUGGAGUGAAAUACUUAAAGAGUUGAGAAAAGCCUCCCAUCAACAAGAAUUCUGUACCUUAUGAAACUGUCCUUCAAAAGUGAAGGAGCAAUAAAUACUUUCUUAGAUAAACAAAAAUUGAGGGAAUUUGUUACUGGUAGACCUGCAUUGUACUAGAUGUUAAAAGUAGUUUCUUGACGGGUGCGGUGGCUCAUGCCUGUAAUCCCAGCAUUUUGGGAGGCUGAGGCAGGUGGAUCACCUGAGAUCAGGAGUUCGAGACCAGCCUGAUCAAUAUGGAGAAACCCCGUCUCUGCUAAAAAUACAAAAAUUAGCCGGGUGUGGUGGUGCGUGCCUGUGAUCCCAGCUACUCGGAAGGCUGAGACAGGAGAAUCGCUUGAACCCGGGAGGCAGAGGUUGCAGUGAGCCGAGAUCGCGCCAUUGCACUCCAGCCUGGGCAACAGAGCAAGACUCCGUCUCAAAAAAAAA
This 3350-nucleotide long non-coding RNA is filed under the name Homo sapiens (human). Its description in RNAcentral is "non-protein coding lnc-IL31RA-5:1". The record is from RNAcentral. Lineage: Eukaryota; Metazoa; Chordata; Mammalia; Primates; Hominidae.